GCUUAGAACAGUGUCUGGCAUAUAAUAAGUGCUUAAAUACCAUUAAAAAAAAUCUCUAACUCAGAUUUCCCGUCAGGGAUGAAGGAGGAAGAAGAGGCUGCGGCCCAUCCCCUGCUCUCUGCAGGCCUCGGAUGGAGAUGUAGUAAUAGGUGGGGUGGGGAAGGUGGCGUUGGACCAUUUUGACUCCACAGGCUCCGGCGUUCCAGGAUACUAACGGUCCUAGAAGGCCAGGACGACUCCCAGGACCCGGCUUCUCCGAGGCCGCGCAGAUUUCAGUGGAGUGAAGCACAAGAGGCAUGGAGUUGAAUCUACCGCCACGAGAGUCGCCCUUCGACUUUGAAGAAGAAACACUGCUCGAGAAGUCCCACCCCCUGAACUUUUUGCUAGAUGAAGCUCCAGCCCGCUGAGACCCAGGCCCCAGGUGGGGGGGCGGGGAGACGCGUGUCACCGAGCGGAACCAUGUUUUUUUCUCCUUUUCAGUUAACACUUUCGGAAUGUGUGUUUGUCUCCAGCCUGUAAAGAUUAAAUGCUUACAAAAGGCCAAGGACUGUC
Ornithorhynchus anatinus (platypus) is the source of this 552-nucleotide long non-coding RNA. RefSeq lists it as uncharacterized. NCBI's taxonomy places the organism in Eukaryota, Metazoa, Chordata, Mammalia, Monotremata, Ornithorhynchidae. The record is from RefSeq and is a predicted model, not a curated record. The transcript is spliced from 2 exons.